This 757-nucleotide unclassified non-coding RNA is filed under the name Hevea brasiliensis (rubber tree). Lineage: Eukaryota; Viridiplantae; Streptophyta; Magnoliopsida; Malpighiales; Euphorbiaceae. The record is from RNAcentral.
GAUAUUGACAGCUCUUCUAUCAGCUUCAAAGGAAAGAAGGUCAGACAUUAUUUCAGCAGUUGCUCCACCUAGUUUCUUGCAAAAUUUAUAGAAAUCCUCGAGAUAAGCCUUGUACAGAGUAUUUCUCAUAAUUUCAAUGUUCAUGUCAUCGAGAUCCUCUGAUGUGAUGCACUCUGCGAAGUAGGGAGCCAAUGGUGUAUCGACAAGAACCAACCUGUAAAGAUCACGCAUGUUCUGUGCCACUGCAAGACUUGCGAUACUAUCAAACAUCCCCAAAGGAUGGCAUUUCUCUAGUAGUUCGUGGACAUCUCUCUCAUGCAAGGUGCCAGUGACAAUGAGGACAACAUUAUCGAUCAUGUGACCAUACGUUAUAUACUCCAAAAAGGUAGACAAUGGCUCGGUGGCUUGGCACAACAUAUGUUUAUACUCAUCGACCAACUUGAGAGUGCAUUUCUCCACGAUUGUGGUUGUAUGUAAAGGAGAAGGUUCGUUCUGGAGAUAUGGCCCGUACUCGGUGGCGGAGAGGUGCAUCUUGAUGUCGUCGAGAGUCUCACACUGGCAGAGAUUGUUGUAAUCGGCGGCGGUGAGGAGGCCGGAGCGGUGGCCGCGCACGAUCGCCUCCAGGUAGCCGCUGUGGACGUUGAACGUCAUCGCCUCGAAUCCGUACAUCGUCUCGCCGGAGAGGGAGAAGGAGAGAUCCGAUCUGGGGAGUGGGGCGAUAUUCGAGACAGGAGGUGGAGAAGGGGGUCGGUAUCGG